This 529-nucleotide ribosomal RNA is filed under the name Cryptoses choloepi. RNAcentral describes it as "partial 16S ribosomal RNA". The record is from RNAcentral. Lineage: Eukaryota; Metazoa; Arthropoda; Insecta; Lepidoptera; Pyralidae.
UAAAGUCUAAUCUGCCCACUGAUAUAAUAUUAAAGGGGUGCAGUAUUUUGACUGUACAAAGGUAGCAUAAUCAUUAGUCUUUUAAUUGAAGACUUGUAUGAAUGAUUGGAUGAAAUAUAAACUGUCUCUAAUAUUAUUAGUUAGAAUUUAAUUUUUUUAUUAAAAAGUAAAAAUAAAUUUAAAAGACGAGAAGACCCUAUAGAGUUUUAUAAUUAAUUUAAUUGAAAUUAUUUAUAAAGAUAAUUUUAAAUUAAUAAAUUAAAAUUAAGUUAAUUAUUUUGUUGGGGUGAUAAAAAAAUAAAAAUAACUUUUUUUAAUAAAUAUAUAUAUAUAUAUAUAUAUAUAUAUAUAUAUAUAUAUAUAUUGUAAACAAAAAUAAAUGAUUUUUUGAUCCAGAAUUUUUGAUUAUAAGAAAAAAUUACCUUAGGGAUAACAGCGUAAUUUUUUUUUUUAGUUCAAAUAAGAAAAAGAGUUUGCGACCUCGAUGUUGGAUUAAGGAAAAAUUUAAAUGCAAAAGUUUAAAAUUUUG